CUUUACUAGAGAAUAAAAUUGUUUUAUCACCUUGAAAUACUAGGCCAGGACAUGAAGACUCUGGGGCUGAGACCAAUGCCACAGAGCCUUGGGUGGAAGCCUGUGAUGCUGGGAGUCUGGGGGAGAGGGGAACACAGCUGCCAUUCUGCCUACAAAUGCAGAAAAAAUAGCAAAGCAUACCACAGGUAUCUUAAAAGACAUGCAAAUGUAAAUGGGGUUGCCCAGAGACUGAAGUCACCUACUGUAUAAAGGUAGGAAAGCUCUAGACCCUAAACUUUGGAGGGGGGUAUUUCUAUGACUCCAAACCCCAAAGUGAUUGAUACCAGUGUUUUUCCAUUAGAUCUGGGCACUUCUUACUCCUUAACCUUGAUCAAAGAGUCCUUAAUGAUACGAAAGAUGAAAUAAUUGUUAAACUUGUUCUCUGCCCACCCAGAGCCUCGAACAGCGUUCUGCACACAGUAGGCACCAUAUAAAUAUUUGUUCUUUCAGAUGAAUUAAAGGUUUUGAGAGAUAGACUGGAGUUUUCUUUCUAUUGGGAAGGGGGGAAUAGAGGGGAUGUGAUGUUCUCAAUUCCUCCAGGGAACUAAUUUUCCCAAUAAGAUUUGGGGCUCCCCAAAGGAUCAGCAUUAGCUUUCCUUGAACUACUGCUUCCAGGCCAAUCCAUCCCUGGCUCCCGGGCUUACUGAGUUUGAAAGGACAGAGUGAGAUGCAAGGCUGUGGGGAUGGAACUUUGGCCAGGUGGAGGUAGGAGGAUGUAGGAGGGUAAUGGGGUUUUUUUGGUGAUGGCUACUGUCUCUAAAUCCUUUCCUCAUUACUUAUGAAUGGAAUUUUCCUACAUGGGAAAAGGCUUCUACAAUUUCCCCUUUGACUAAAGCAAAGAAUAUUUUAGGAAAGAUUACACACAUAUUUUUAUAAUUAUGAUAACAUUAAGUUUUUCUUGGACCAUAAAUUAGUCUUUUCCCUUUUUAAACUCUUUUUUCUUCCAUUUCAGAGACAAAGAGUCUACAAACAUUCUGAAAUAAAAGCAAAUUUUAAAUUAACA
This 1042-nucleotide long non-coding RNA is filed under the name Phascolarctos cinereus (koala). RNAcentral describes it as "lncRNA (ENSPCIG00000036372.1)". The record is from RNAcentral. Lineage: Eukaryota; Metazoa; Chordata; Mammalia; Diprotodontia; Phascolarctidae.